Molecule: non-coding RNA, 505 nt
Organism: Oryza sativa Japonica Group (Japanese rice)
Lineage: Eukaryota; Viridiplantae; Streptophyta; Magnoliopsida; Poales; Poaceae
Source: RefSeq, a predicted model, not a curated record
GUGGUUGGUAGUAAUGAAACAAUUUGUGAUAUAUUUCGAGUGUUAACCUGAACUCUUCUGGCCCGAUUCCAAUUGAAAUUAUGCAAUUUAACGAAAUAAGCUGAAAUAAUGCAAAUUUCCAUGAUUUUGUUAUGUACUUAGUACUGUUGCAAAUUACAGGUGUAAGAGGGACGAGGUUUAAUUUUACAUCCGUAGCAAAUUAAUGGGUGGCUGGUGACCUCUUCCUAUAUUUAGCUGACAGCAACUCAAUUGAGAGUUUCAGACAUCAGUCUAAGCAGCAACCACACACAUAGAACUUGCUAGUGUACGUACAAUGACGGAACAACCCAAGAGAUAUUGCUUUCGGAUCAUACUAGCCGACAAUGUCGGCUAUAUACGACCCUUCGGGAUGAAAGGAUUGUGGCAAAUAAAUUCUGAUGUACUACACAUGAGGAGCUAUACUGAUCUAAAUGAACAGCUUGAGGAUUGAUAUGGACUGGUUCACUACGGGAUUAAGGGGAUUAAG